UUUACACGUAAUAGUUUGUGUAUAAACAGGAUUGUAUACUUACUGACGUUCUGUGCAAUAGAAACAGUCGCAUACUCAAAAUGUUUCGUAGAAUCGCUAUGCUUGUUAUCCAAGAACAAAUCCGACCGACAAAGUUCGCUCGUAAAUGGCGACGAAAGGCAAAGACGAAAACAACAUUAUCUACUUUAAAAGAAAGUGAAACUAAGCUAAAGUGUGUUAAGCCUAAGAUACUGACGAAAUCAAAUUCCUUCAGAACGAAAGGAUCGGCGAAGUUAACUACGAACGCAGAAUUGGAAUCGUCCGUGUCAAGCGUUUCUACAUUUAAUAAAUCUUCCAAAUCAAACACACCUCGCGCACCAAAGAAAGAAAAAGUCAAGUAUUCUAAUGAAAUCUUUGAGGACGUAAUGGCAGAAAUUAAAAAGUACGCUAAAAGUGAAACAAAGUCACAACCAGAGCCUAUUCCAAAUGCUUUGGUGUUUGAUCUGGGCGGAAGUCACGCCUCACAUGAAGAUGUAUACUAUCAACUGAAAAGUCUGUUAUAUUCAAACAAAGAGUGUCACAUGAAAUCUCUUCAGUACUUUCCAAUGUCUUUCAGAUGGGUCAUUUUAUUAGAUAGUAAGAAAUCGCGUGAUUUGCUCGCCGGAAGUGUUAUAAUCGUCAAUGGCAACAGAGUGAUAUUGAGACGUUACGAUGAUAUUAUUGCACUGGAAUAUAAAAAAUCUUCGAGAGCAAGUGGAUUUAUUGAUACUGUUAAAGAUUACUAAUUGUCACACGCCUGGUGUAGUUAUUAUACUUGUUGGGAUGAGAUACUAAACCAGUAUUUUCGUGCAUCUAAAUAUCCCUGCUACACAGACGCAUGUAUAUAUAUAUCACAGAGACUUGUCAGCACAUUGUACAGAGUCUGACACAAAUACACAAUUAUUAACUACGUAUAAACUACUCUCAGAUACUACUCCACAAGUGGGCGAAAUUUUUCUUAUAAGACCACACUAUGUCCUAAAGACAAGUCUAUAUGUUAUGCUGAUAUAUUAAUAGUCAAUCCAGAGAGCACGUAAAACUCGUUUACCCAUCACAUUUUGUGUCCGACCCUAUUCAGACUAUCUGGAUGUUGUUUUGUUCGUACCUCUAUUUUUUCUGCGGAGUCGAACGUUGUUGGUUGUUGUGACCUUAUUGUACUGUCCAAUAUUUUUGGUGAUUCUUGUUAUCUUUUGCAUUUGUAGUUUUUAAUCAAAGAAUUAUUUUGAAAUUAAAGCUCUUUUCAUGACAUUGUAACACUCUUUAGCAUUAUGUUGAAAAUACUUUAUGCAUAUGUUUUGGAAUUGUUCUAUCAGUUUUACUGCUUUUACUUUUGUUUUUACUGUUCGUGGUGUAAAAUCAAUCAGUAUGUUUAUGUAUUGUAAUUUUACAACAAACAGAAUGAAAUUUAUUUCUUUAA
Long non-coding RNA from Mytilus californianus (California mussel), 1435 nucleotides. RefSeq lists it as uncharacterized. The transcript is spliced from 2 exons. NCBI's taxonomy places the organism in Eukaryota, Metazoa, Mollusca, Bivalvia, Mytilida, Mytilidae. The record is from RefSeq and is a predicted model, not a curated record.